Molecule: ribosomal RNA, 409 nt
Filed under: Polychrus gutturosus
Lineage: Eukaryota; Metazoa; Chordata; Lepidosauria; Squamata; Polychrotidae
Description: partial 16S ribosomal RNA
Rfam family: Bacterial large subunit ribosomal RNA
Source: RNAcentral
CAUAGCCUUUAGCCCUAACCGUAUUAAAGGUAACGCCUGCCCAGUGAGUAUUUAAACGGCCGCGGUAUCCUAACCGUGCAAAGGUAGCGUAAUCACUUGUCUCCUAAAUAGAGACCAGUAUGAAUGGCUAAAUGAGGAUUAAACUGUCUCCUAACACCAAUCAGUGAAACUGAUCUCCCAGUACAAAAGCUGGGAUAAAUACAUAAGACGAGAAGACCCUGUGGAGCUUAAAAUUAAGGCCACCUAGAACAACCAACCACCAGCUAUGGCUCACAAUUUUAAGUUGGGGCGACUUCGGAACCAAACAAAACUUCCGAGCACAAGAACAUCCCUCAUACCAAGGCCCACACGCCUAAGCACAAACUGACCCAGUCUAACUGAUCAACGAACCAAGUUACCCCAGGGAUAA